Molecule: ribosomal RNA, 497 nt
Filed under: uncultured bacterium
Lineage: Bacteria
Description: partial 16S ribosomal RNA
Rfam family: Bacterial small subunit ribosomal RNA
Source: RNAcentral
GAUGAACGCUGGCGGCGUGCCUAAUACAUGCAAGUCGAGCGAACGGACGAGAAGCUUGCUUCUCUGAUGUUAGCGGCGGACGGGUGAGUAACACGUGGAUAACCUACCUAUAAGACUGGGAUAACUUCGGGAAACCGGAGCUAAUACCGGAUGAUAUUUUGAACCGCAUGGUUCAAAAGUGAAAGACGGUCUUGCUGUCACUUAUAGAUGGUUCCGCGCUGCAUUAGCUAGUUGGUAAGUUAACGGCUUACCAAGGCAACGAUGCAUAGCCGACCUGUGAGGGUGAUCGGCCACACGGGAACUGAGACACGGUCCAGACUCCUACGGGAGGAAGCAGUAGGGAAUCUUCCGCAAUGGGCGAAAGCCUGACGGAGCAACGCCGCGUGAGUGAUGAAGGUCUUCGGAUCGUAAAACUCUGUUAUUAGGGAAGAACAUAUGUGUAAGUAACUGUGCACAUCUUGACGGUACCUAAUCAGAAAGCCACGGCUAACUACGUG